GGGCGCUUGGUCUAGGGGUAUGAUCUUCGUUUCGCACCACACCGCGUCUACGAAAAGUCGUGGGUUCGAUUCCUACAGCGUCCA
Molecule: transfer RNA, 84 nt
Filed under: Blumeria hordei DH14
Lineage: Eukaryota; Fungi; Ascomycota; Leotiomycetes; Helotiales; Erysiphaceae
Description: tRNA-Ala for anticodon CGC
Rfam family: tRNA
About the family: Transfer RNA (tRNA) molecules are approximately 80 nucleotides in length.
Source: Rfam by way of RNAcentral